This 535-nucleotide ribosomal RNA is filed under the name uncultured bacterium. RNAcentral's name for it is "bacterial SSU rRNA". It matches the Rfam family "Bacterial small subunit ribosomal RNA", at positions 8 to 524 of the family's 1533-position model. The record is from RNAcentral.
AGAGUUUGAUCCUGGCUCAGGACGAACGCUGGCGGCGUGCCUAAUACAUGCAAGUCGAGCGAACCAAUUGAAAGCCUAGCUUUCAUGAGGUUAGCGGCGGACGGGUGAGUAACACGUGGGUAACCUGCCCUAUAGACUGGGAUAACUCGCGGAAACGCGUGUUAAUACCGGAUAACACAUCAAAGUGCAUGCUUUGAUGUUGAAAGAUGGUUCUGCUAUCACUAUAGGAUGGGCCCGCGGCGCAUUAGCUUGUUGGUGGGGUAACGGCCUACCAAGGCGACGAUGCGUAGCCGACCUGAGAGGGUGAUCGGCCACACUGGGACUGAGACACGGCCCAGACUCCUACGGGAGGCAGCAGUAGGGAAUCUUCCACAAUGGGCGAAAGCCUGAUGGAGCAACGCCGCGUGAGCGAAGAAGGUCUUCGGAUCGUAAAGCUCUGUUGUAAGGGAAGAACAAGUGCAGUAGUAACUGGCUGCACCUUGACGGUACCUUACUAGAAAGCCACGGCUAACUACGUGCCAGCAGCCGCGGUAAU